Molecule: ribosomal RNA, 433 nt
Filed under: uncultured bacterium
Lineage: Bacteria
Description: partial 16S ribosomal RNA
Rfam family: Bacterial small subunit ribosomal RNA
Source: RNAcentral
AAUGAACGCUGGCGGCAUGCCUAACACAUGCAAGUCGAACGAGACCAUCGGAUCCAUUGGCCCAUGGUUGUGUAACGCGUCGGAACCUUCCCUUAUGUUUGGAAUACCUCUCCGACAGGGGUGCUAAUACCGGAUAAUGUCUUCUACCCAAAGAUUUUUCGCCUUUGGUUGGGCCCGCGUUGUAUUAGCUCGUUGGUACGCUAAUAGCCUACUACGGCGAGGAUACAUAGCUGGUAAGAGAGGAUGAUCAGCGACACUGCGAGUAAGACACGGCCGAGAAUCCUACGGGAGGGAGGAGAGGGGAAUAUAGGAAAAUGGGGGAAAGGAUGAACGAGUAAUGCCGCGAGAGUGAUGAAGGCAGGAGAGUAGAAAAGCGCUUUUACCCGGGAUGAUAAUGACAGUACCGAAAGAAUAAGCUCCGGCUAACUACGUG